CCUACGGGAGGCAGCAGUGGGGAAUAUUGCACAAUGGGGGAAACCCUGAUGCAGCGACGCCGCGUGAGUGAAGAAGCGUUUCGGCGCGUAAAGCCCUUUCAGCGGGGAAGAAACACGGUUCGCGAGAGCCGCUGCCGGUACCCGCCCAAGAAGCACCGGCUAACUACGCGCCACCAGCCGCGGUAAUACGUAGGGGGCAAGCGUGAUCCGGAUUAACUGGGGGGUAAGGGAGCGGAGACGGCGAGACAAGUCUGGAGUGAAAGGCCGGGGCCCAACCCCGGGGCUGCUCUGGAAACUGCCUCGCUUGAGUACAGGAGAGGUAAGUGGAAUUCCUAGUGUAGCGGUGAAAUGCGUAGAUAUUAGGAGGAACACCAGUGGCGAAGGCGGCUUACUGGACUGUAACUGACGUUGAGGCUCGAAAGCGUGGGGAGCAAACAGGAUUAGAUACCCUUGUAGUC
Molecule: ribosomal RNA, 458 nt
Filed under: uncultured bacterium
Lineage: Bacteria
Description: partial 16S ribosomal RNA
Rfam family: Bacterial small subunit ribosomal RNA
Source: RNAcentral